Molecule: ribosomal RNA, 2787 nt
Filed under: Escherichia coli
Lineage: Bacteria; Pseudomonadati; Pseudomonadota; Gammaproteobacteria; Enterobacterales; Enterobacteriaceae
Description: bacterial LSU rRNA
Rfam family: Bacterial large subunit ribosomal RNA
Source: RNAcentral
AGCGUACACGGUGGAUGCCCUGGCAGUCAGAGGCGAUGAAGGACGUGCUAAUCUGCGAUAAGCGUCGGUAAGGUGAUAUGAACCGUUAUAACCGGCGAUUUCCGAAUGGGGAAACCCAGUGUGUUUCGACACACUAUCAUUAACUGAAUCCAUAGGUUAAUGAGGCGAACCGGGGGAACUGAAACAUCUAAGUACCCCGAGGAAAAGAAAUCAACCGAGAUUCCCCCAGUAGCGGCGAGCGAACGGGGAGCAGCCCAGAGCCUGAAUCAGUGUGUGUGUUAGUGGAAGCGUCUGGAAAGGCGCGCGAUACAGGGUGACAGCCCCGUACACAAAAAUGCACAUGCUGUGAGCUCGAUGAGUAGGGCGGGACACGUGGUAUCCUGUCUGAAUAUGGGGGGACCAUCCUCCAAGGCUAAAUACUCCUGACUGACCGAUAGUGAACCAGUACCGUGAGGGAAAGGCGAAAAGAACCCCGGCGAGGGGAGUGAAAAAGAACCUGAAACCGUGUACGUACAAGCAGUGGGAGCACGCUUAGGCGUGUGACUGCGUACCUUUUGUAUAAUGGGUCAGCGACUUAUAUUCUGUAGCAAGGUUAACCGAAUAGGGGAGCCGAAGGGAAACCGAGUCUUAACUGGGCGUUAAGUUGCAGGGUAUAGACCCGAAACCCGGUGAUCUAGCCAUGGGCAGGUUGAAGGUUGGGUAACACUAACUGGAGGACCGAACCGACUAAUGUUGAAAAAUUAGCGGAUGACUUGUGGCUGGGGGUGAAAGGCCAAUCAAACCGGGAGAUAGCUGGUUCUCCCCGAAAGCUAUUUAGGUAGCGCCUCGUGAAUUCAUCUCCGGGGGUAGAGCACUGUUUCGGCAAGGGGGUCAUCCCGACUUACCAACCCGAUGCAAACUGCGAAUACCGGAGAAUGUUAUCACGGGAGACACACGGCGGGUGCUAACGUCCGUCGUGAAGAGGGAAACAACCCAGACCGCCAGCUAAGGUCCCAAAGUCAUGGUUAAGUGGGAAACGAUGUGGGAAGGCCCAGACAGCCAGGAUGUUGGCUUAGAAGCAGCCAUCAUUUAAAGAAAGCGUAAUAGCUCACUGGUCGAGUCGGCCUGCGCGGAAGAUGUAACGGGGCUAAACCAUGCACCGAAGCUGCGGCAGCGACGCUUAUGCGUUGUUGGGUAGGGGAGCGUUCUGUAAGCCUGCGAAGGUGUGCUGUGAGGCAUGCUGGAGGUAUCAGAAGUGCGAAUGCUGACAUAAGUAACGAUAAAGCGGGUGAAAAGCCCGCUCGCCGGAAGACCAAGGGUUCCUGUCCAACGUUAAUCGGGGCAGGGUGAGUCGACCCCUAAGGCGAGGCCGAAAGGCGUAGUCGAUGGGAAACAGGUUAAUAUUCCUGUACUUGGUGUUACUGCGAAGGGGGGACGGAGAAGGCUAUGUUGGCCGGGCGACGGUUGUCCCGGUUUAAGCGUGUAGGCUGGUUUUCCAGGCAAAUCCGGAAAAUCAAGGCUGAGGCGUGAUGACGAGGCACUACGGUGCUGAAGCAACAAAUGCCCUGCUUCCAGGAAAAGCCUCUAAGCAUCAGGUAACAUCAAAUCGUACCCCAAACCGACACAGGUGGUCAGGUAGAGAAUACCAAGGCGCUUGAGAGAACUCGGGUGAAGGAACUAGGCAAAAUGGUGCCGUAACUUCGGGAGAAGGCACGCUGAUAUGUAGGUGAAGCGACUUGCUCGUGGAGCUGAAAUCAGUCGAAGAUACCAGCUGGCUGCAACUGUUUAUUAAAAACACAGCACUGUGCAAACACGAAAGUGGACGUAUACGGUGUGACGCCUGCCCGGUGCCGGAAGGUUAAUUGAUGGGGUCAGCGCAAGCGAAGCUCUUGAUCGAAGCCCCGGUAAACGGCGGCCGUAACUAUAACGGUCCUAAGGUAGCGAAAUUCCUUGUCGGGUAAGUUCCGACCUGCACGAAUGGCGUAAUGAUGGCCAGGCUGUCUCCACCCGAGACUCAGUGAAAUUGAACUCGCUGUGAAGAUGCAGUGUACCCGCGGCAAGACGGAAAGACCCCGUGAACCUUUACUAUAGCUUGACACUGAACAUUGAGCCUUGAUGUGUAGGAUAGGUGGGAGGCUUUGAAGUGUGGACGCCAGUCUGCAUGGAGCCGACCUUGAAAUACCACCCUUUAAUGUUUGAUGUUCUAACGUUGACCCGUAAUCCGGGUUGCGGACAGUGUCUGGUGGGUAGUUUGACUGGGGCGGUCUCCUCCUAAAGAGUAACGGAGGAGCACGAAGGUUGGCUAAUCCUGGUCGGACAUCAGGAGGUUAGUGCAAUGGCAUAAGCCAGCUUGACUGCGAGCGUGACGGCGCGAGCAGGUGCGAAAGCAGGUCAUAGUGAUCCGGUGGUUCUGAAUGGAAGGGCCAUCGCUCAACGGAUAAAAGGUACUCCGGGGAUAACAGGCUGAUACCGCCCAAGAGUUCAUAUCGACGGCGGUGUUUGGCACCUCGAUGUCGGCUCAUCACAUCCUGGGGCUGAAGUAGGUCCCAAGGGUAUGGCUGUUCGCCAUUUAAAGUGGUACGCGAGCUGGGUUUAGAACGUCGUGAGACAGUUCGGUCCCUAUCUGCCGUGGGCGCUGGAGAACUGAGGGGGGCUGCUCCUAGUACGAGAGGACCGGAGUGGACGCAUCACUGGUGUUCGGGUUGUCAUGCCAAUGGCACUGCCCGGUAGCUAAAUGCGGAAGAGAUAAGUGCUGAAAGCAUCUAAGCACGAAACUUGCCCCGAGAUGAGUUCUCCCUGACUCCUUGA